RNAcentral lists this ribosomal RNA (495 nucleotides) under uncultured bacterium. Its description in RNAcentral is "partial 16S ribosomal RNA". It matches the Rfam family "Bacterial small subunit ribosomal RNA", at positions 28 to 507 of the family's 1533-position model. The record is from RNAcentral.
GACGAACGCUGGCGGCGUGCCUAAUACAUGCAAGUAGAACGCUGAAGGAGGAGCUUGCUUCUCUGGAUGAGUUGCGAACGGGUGAGUAACGCGUAGGUAACCUGCCUGGUAGCGGGGGAUAACUAUUGGAAACGAUAGCUAAUACCGCAUAAUAGCAGUUGUUGCAUGACAACUGUUUGAAAGGUGCAAUUGCACCACUACCAGAUGGACCUGCGUUGUAUUAGCUAGUUGGUGGGGUAACGGCUCACCAAGGCGACGAUACAUAGCCGACCUGAGAGGGUGAUCGGCCACACUGGGACUGAGACACGGCCCAGACUCCUACGGGAGGCAGCAGUAGGGAAUCUUCGGCAAUGGACGGAAGUCUGAACGAGCAACGCCGCGUGAGUGAAGAAGGUUUUCGGAUCGUAAAGCUCUGUUGUAAGAGAAGAACGAGUGUGAGAGUGGAAAGUUCACACUGUGACGGUAGCUUACCAGAAAGGGACGGCUAACUACGUG